AUUGAACGCUGGCGGCAUGCCUUACACAUGCAAGUCGAACGGCAGCACGGGAGCUUGCUCCUGGUGGCGAGUGGCGAACGGGUGAGUAAUAUAUCGGAACAUGCCCUGAAGUGGGGGAUAACGUAGCGAAAGUUACGCUAAUACCGCAUAUCCUGUGAGCAGGAAAGCAGGGGAUCUUAGGACCUUGCGCUUUAGGAGUGGCCGAUAUCGGAUUAGCUAGUUGGUGAGGUAACGGCUCACCAAGGCGACGAUCCGUAGCGGGUCUGAGAGGAUGAUCCGCCACACUGGAACUGAGACACGGUCCAGACUCCUACGGGAGGCAGCAGUGGGGAAUUUUGGACAAUGGGCGCAAGCCUGAUCCAGCCAUGCCGCGUGAGUGAAGAAGGCCUCGGUUGUAAG
This 399-nucleotide ribosomal RNA is filed under the name uncultured bacterium. RNAcentral's name for it is "bacterial SSU rRNA". It matches the Rfam family "Bacterial small subunit ribosomal RNA", at positions 30 to 429 of the family's 1533-position model. The record is from RNAcentral.